UACGUAGGGGGCAAGCGUUGUCCGGAAUCAUUGGGCGUAAAGAGCGUGUAGGCGGCCCGAUAAGUCCGCUGUGAAAGUCCAGGGCUCAACCCUGGAAUGCCGGUGGAUACUGUCGGGCUCGAAUCCGGAAGAGGUGAGUGGAAUUCCUGGUGUAGCGGUGAAAUGCGCAGAUAUCAGGAGGAACACCAAUGGCGAAGGCAGCUCUCUGGUACGUGACUGACACUGAGACGCGAAAGCGUGGGGAGCGAACAGG
Molecule: ribosomal RNA, 253 nt
Filed under: uncultured bacterium
Lineage: Bacteria
Description: partial 16S ribosomal RNA
Rfam family: Bacterial small subunit ribosomal RNA
Source: RNAcentral